GCAGCGGUAGUGUAGUGGUAAGCACACCCAGGCAGCCUCCAACGGCGAAAGGGGGACCUGCCCAUCCCUAGCAUGGAGAUCGUGGGUUCGAUUCCCACCACCGGCG
RNAcentral lists this transfer RNA (106 nucleotides) under Rasamsonia emersonii CBS 393.64. It matches the Rfam family "tRNA". Rfam says of the family: Transfer RNA (tRNA) molecules are approximately 80 nucleotides in length. Lineage: Eukaryota; Fungi; Ascomycota; Eurotiomycetes; Eurotiales; Trichocomaceae. The record is from Rfam by way of RNAcentral.